RNAcentral lists this long non-coding RNA (381 nucleotides) under Cucumis sativus (cucumber). Its description in RNAcentral is "long non-coding RNA (CSAT_LNC002919)". The record is from RNAcentral. Lineage: Eukaryota; Viridiplantae; Streptophyta; Magnoliopsida; Cucurbitales; Cucurbitaceae.
ACGCCAGCCGCAUCGAGCCGGAGGCAACCGGUCCGGUUAUUUUUUCCAUUAGUGUCGCCACCGUCAGAUACACCGGCGGCGAUGGUGUUCUGAUGAAAAAUGACCUCGGCGGCGAGGUGAACGGGAUGACGUUUGAUGCUGCUUCAAGGUAUGUUCCUGAUUCUGUAAUUCCGGCUACUUGAAUUAGAGACUGCUCCAAUGGCAUCGGCGCUAAAAUGGAAAUUCCGUUUCUAGGGUUGUCGUAGAGGUAAUGGCCGACGUAGGGUAAAUGAUGAGCUACUGGAAUGCCCCAAGAUGAGAGAUAUGGACGCGAUCCGAUUCCACUGAGUAACAGUAAUUGCGGACUUCCGAUUGCGCCUGCUGAUAAGAAUACUUCUCCAC